This 194-nucleotide microRNA precursor is filed under the name Oryza brachyantha (malo sina). RNAcentral describes it as "MIR812 microRNA precursor family". It matches the Rfam family "MIR812 microRNA precursor family". Lineage: Eukaryota; Viridiplantae; Streptophyta; Magnoliopsida; Poales; Poaceae. The record is from Rfam by way of RNAcentral.
AAUAAACUAAUUUCUGCGUUUUUGAUUGAAUUUUUGACUCUUCGUCUUAUUUGAAAUUUUUUAUGAUUAAUAUUUUUAUUAUUAUUACAUGAUAAAAUAUAAAUAGUACUUUGCAUGUGACUAUUUUUUUUCAAUUUUUUAAUAUACUCUUUAAAUAAGACGGAUGGUCAAACGCUCUAUAGGCAAGACUCAGG